UUCUGUCCUGGGCUUACAGUCCUCCUGUGGUUUUCCUGUCUCACAGCCCCUAGGUGGCAGCAGCAGAGAAUUGGAGGACAGAGGAUGAGCAGAGUGGAAGGGAGACGUGGUUGUUAAAACAAGAAGAGAAGCAGCAGGUCACCUCGGAGUCCUCUCCCUGUGCAGGAAGUGUUUUCCUGCUGCUGCCUUCCUGAGUGGCCUUGCCUCCUGCAGACUGUGGCACAGCAGAGAUAUUAUUGUCUUCAUUGAAACGAAUGGAUGCCCCUCUGGGAGUCUGGAUAUUAUCAAGAUGAAAAAGGUCUCCUUCUCCUGUGCAUUUUCUCCAGUUGGAGAACUCUGUGAAUCAGUGAGUCUCAGGCCAGAUCAGAGUCACCAAGCUUGCAGAAUGGUCGUCUGGAGCAGACAAGAGGCAGGAGGAACGGCCUGAAGGUGAAGCAAGGGGACACGUCACAGCAGCCACCGAGACCUGCCUCCAGACUGGCCUCUGUCUUCCCUUCCAGUUCUCUUGCCUGGAGAAUCCCAUGGACGGAGGAGCCUGGUGGGCUACAGUCCACGGGGUUGC
Molecule: long non-coding RNA, 562 nt
Organism: Bos indicus x Bos taurus (hybrid cattle)
Lineage: Eukaryota; Metazoa; Chordata; Mammalia; Artiodactyla; Bovidae
Source: Ensembl